GGGAAUCUGCCCUUUGGUCUGGGAUAACUGUUGGAAACGACAGCUAAUACCGGAUGAUGACGUAAGUCCAAAGAUUUAUCGCCAGAGGAUGAGCCCGCGUCGGAUUAGCUAGUUGGUGGGGUAAAGGCCUACCAAGGCGACGAUCCGUAGCUGGUCUGAGAGGAUGAUCAGCCACACUGGGACUGAGACACGGCCCAGACUCCUACGGGAGGCAGCAGUGGGGAAUAUUGGACAAUGGGCGAAAGCCUGAUCCAGCAAUGCCGCGUGAGUGAUGAAGGCCUUAGGGUUGUAAAGCUCUUUUACCCGGGAUGAUAAUGACAGUACCGGGAGAAUAAGCUCCGGCUAACUCCGUGCCAGCAGCCGCGGUAAUACGGAGGGAGCUAGCGUUGUUCGGAAUUACUGGGCGUAAAGCGCACGUAGGCGGCUUUGUAAGUUAGAGGUGAAAGCCUGGAGCUCAACUCCAGAACUGCCUUUGAUACUGUAUGGCUUGAAUCCAGGAGAGGUGAGUGGAAUUCCGAGU
RNAcentral lists this ribosomal RNA (520 nucleotides) under uncultured bacterium. Its description in RNAcentral is "bacterial SSU rRNA". It matches the Rfam family "Bacterial small subunit ribosomal RNA", at positions 120 to 674 of the family's 1533-position model. The record is from RNAcentral.